Cercocebus atys (sooty mangabey) is the source of this 107-nucleotide small nuclear RNA. The record is from Ensembl. Lineage: Eukaryota; Metazoa; Chordata; Mammalia; Primates; Cercopithecidae.
GUGCUUGUUUUGGCAGCACAUACACUAAAAUUGAAACAAUAUAGAGAAGAUCAGCAUGAUCCCUGUACAGGGAUGACACACAAAUUUGUGAGGUGUUCCAUAUUUCU